This 245-nucleotide long non-coding RNA is filed under the name Capsicum annuum. RNAcentral's name for it is "long non-coding RNA (CANN_LNC022083)". The record is from RNAcentral. Lineage: Eukaryota; Viridiplantae; Streptophyta; Magnoliopsida; Solanales; Solanaceae.
UCGACCCCCAGUCCUAGCUGUGAUAGGUAUCUCAAACCCAUCGUGGCCCGGAGACCACCCCUAUUGCCUGUCCAAACCAAACAUAUUCCAAAUAAUAACAAAUAGAAGACCACCAGAGAAUGAAGAUAAAAUAGUUAAUGUAACUUAAUAAGCUCUAAGAUUCAACAACACCAUCCAACCCACACAUAUCCAUAAAAGCCUCUAAACCAAUACGGCUAUAAAACUAGGUCGAGACAUAUCCCCGC